ACAACUCUAGAGAUAGAGCUUUCCCCUUCGGGGGACAAAGUGACAGGUGGUGCAUGGUUGUCGUCAGCUCGUGUCGUGAGAUGUUGGGUUAAGUCCCGCAACGAGCGCAACCCUUAAGCUUAGUUGCCAUCAUUAAGUUGGGCACUCUAAGUUGACUGCCGGUGACAAACCGGAGGAAGGUGGGGAUGACGUCAAAUCAUCAUGCCCCUUAUGAUUUGGGCUACACACGUGCUACAAUGGACAAUACAAAGGGCAGCGAAACCGCGAGGUCAAGCAAAUCCCAUAAAGUUGUUCUCAGUUCGGAUUGUAGUCUGCAACUCGACUACAUGAAGCUGGAAUCGCUAGUAAUCGUAGAUCAGCAUGCUACGGUGAAUACGUUCCCGGGUCUUGUACACACCGCCCGUCACACCACGAGAGUUUGUAACACCCGAAGCCGGUGGAGUAACCUUUUAGGAGCUAGCCGUCGAAGGUGGGACAAAUGAUUGGGGUGAAGUCGUAACAAGGUAGCCGUAUCGGAAGGUGCGGCUGGAUCACCUCCUUU
Molecule: ribosomal RNA, 541 nt
Filed under: Staphylococcus aureus
Lineage: Bacteria; Bacillati; Bacillota; Bacilli; Caryophanales; Staphylococcaceae
Description: bacterial SSU rRNA
Rfam family: Bacterial small subunit ribosomal RNA
Source: RNAcentral